CACUACCUACGGGGCGCAGCAGUGGGGAAUAUUGGGCAAUGGACGCAAGUCUGACCCAGCAACGCCGCGUGAAGGAAGAAGGCUUUCAGGUUGUAAACUUCUUUUAAGGGGGAAGAGCAGAAGACGGUACCCCUUGAAUAAGCCACGGCUAACUACGUGCCAGCAGCCGCGGUAAUACGUAGGUGGCAAGCGUUAUCCGGAUUUACUGGGUGUAAAGGGCGUGUAGGCGGGUACGCAAGUC
RNAcentral lists this ribosomal RNA (241 nucleotides) under uncultured bacterium. RNAcentral describes it as "partial 16S ribosomal RNA". It matches the Rfam family "Bacterial small subunit ribosomal RNA", at positions 333 to 589 of the family's 1533-position model. The record is from RNAcentral.